CGGCCGUCCACCCCUCCCUCUUCUCCUCAGGGCCCGCCGCCGCUCCCUCGCCUUGUAGAGGGCGGCCCGAGCGCUUCUCUGUGCCGCAGCCCGUCCUGUCCGCCUCUGGGGCAUCGCGCUGUGAGGGAAAUAUAAAACGAAGCCUUAGAAGACAAGAUUCGUUUUGCUGCUGAAGUAAAAGAUACAAACGAGGGUUUGAAUUCUUGUGUGGUGUAUUCUAGCUUUAUUUUUAGGGCCAACUGAAAACUUCCCUCGUUUUGGAAGAGUUAAAAGGAUUUUUUAAUUUCAGGUGUGGAAAGCUGUCUGAGUAAAACGCCCCAGCAGGGCAACGGGCUGCUCACUGUUGGCUUCAGUUAGUUGUCAAUCAGUGGUGCAACUCGGUUUUAGUGUUACAUUCACUGUGCAAAACGAUGUAUUUUUGCAAAUAUGUGGGAUUUAAUUGUUGGCGAGAAACGUUUUGGUGAUCAGAUCAGGACAAAAAUGUCUUAAGACAG
RNAcentral lists this long non-coding RNA (494 nucleotides) under Gallus gallus (chicken). RNAcentral describes it as "long non-coding RNA NONGGAT007265". Lineage: Eukaryota; Metazoa; Chordata; Aves; Galliformes; Phasianidae. The record is from RNAcentral.